RNAcentral lists this ribosomal RNA (478 nucleotides) under uncultured bacterium. RNAcentral describes it as "partial 16S ribosomal RNA". It matches the Rfam family "Bacterial small subunit ribosomal RNA", at positions 28 to 507 of the family's 1533-position model. The record is from RNAcentral.
GAUGAACGCUGGCGGCGUGCCUAACACAUGCAAGUCGAACGGAGUCCAGCCUUUAAGACCUUCGGGUCAAAGAUGGGAAGACUGUGUGGCGGACGGGUGAGUAACACGUGGGCAACCUGGCUCCUAGAGGGGGAUAACAGACGGAAAUUUCUGCUAAUACCGCAUAAACACACCCUGCCGCAUGGCAGAGGCAGAAAAGAGAAUCGCUAUGAGAUGGAGCCGCGUCUGAUUAGCCAGUUGGCAGGGUAAGAGCCUACCAAAGCGACGAUCAGUAGCCGAUCUGAGAGGAUGAACGGUCACACUGGAACUGAGACACGGCCCAAACUCCUACGGGAGGCAGCAGUGGGGGAUAUUGCACAAUGGGGGGAACUCUGAUGCAGCGACGCCGCGUGAGUGAAGAAGUAUUUCGGUACGUAAAGCUCUAUCAGCAGGGAAGAUAAUGACAGUACCAGAAGAAGAAGCCCCGGCUAACUACGUG